This 917-nucleotide long non-coding RNA is filed under the name Nicotiana benthamiana. Its description in RNAcentral is "long non-coding RNA (NBEN_LNC015844)". Lineage: Eukaryota; Viridiplantae; Streptophyta; Magnoliopsida; Solanales; Solanaceae. The record is from RNAcentral.
UUAAAAUCCUUAAAGAACUAACUUUCACUAUUAUGCGCCAAAACACUCCCGGAUCAUUCAGAACCCGAUCCGAUCAUACACCUAAGUCCAAAGUUAUUAUACAAACCUAAUGGAACCGUCAAAUCCUAAUUCCGAGUUUAUUUACUCAAGAUAUUGACCGAUGUCAAAUUUCACCUUACCUUGAGAAAUCAAGUGUUCUGAUUUCAAACUAAAUUCUUCCAAGCCCCGAACCAACCAUCCAUGUAAGUCAUAAAUCGGUAAAAGCAAGUACAAAAAAUCUUAUUUAGGGGAAUGAGAUUCUAGAAAACAAAGCGACCGAUCGGUUCGUUACUAUUCUCAUGCGAUUGACUUAGUCAAAUUGCUCCUUGAGAUCCUUCCACAACGUAAGAAUUAGAGGCAUAUACAAUUCCACGAAGUACAUCUUCAGAACCUGUGUUGAUAAUCAAUAAGAGGACAGUUGCAUCACAUUUUUCUCCUACAACUCCUUGUCAAUUACAGGUACCAAAUACGACCCUUAGAUUUCUCUUUGCUUGAAGAGUGAUGCGCAUUGAUCUCCUCCAUAGGUCAUAUUCUCUGAUCCUGUGAGUUUUACUAGAAUAACUAGCGAACCACGAGUAUUAGCAGGAUUCAUGAAUAAUAGAUUUGUGUAGUUUAAUUCCUAUGCCGGCAUAAUUGCAAACUAAUGAGCUUGAUUCAGAAGAGAUUUCACACAGUGAUUUGAUUAAUUGAAUCAAAAAUUGUGUGUAUGACCAGAAUCAAUUACUCUGAUACCAUGCUAAAAUGUAGAGAGAGCUGAGACAAAUUCAGUCAUUGAAGCUGGAGAAGCUUCAGUAAGAAGAAGAAAGGUAAAUGAGUGAAAAAGCAAAAUGAUAGCCAUCUACUGUUCUAUUGCUUUGCAAUGUAUUUGUAAAAUCAAG